This 200-nucleotide unclassified non-coding RNA is filed under the name soil metagenome. RNAcentral describes it as "partial contains internal transcribed spacer 2 and large subunit ribosomal RNA". The record is from RNAcentral.
CGAGCGCCAUUUCUACCCUGGAGCCCUGCUCUGUGAUGGGCCCCGUCCUCGCGGACGGCCCGAAACCUGUGGGCGCCGUCGUCCGGCCCUGAGCGUAGCAAGAGAAAUCCCUCGCUCGGAGUGCCUGUCGGUCGGUCGCCCCGAACCCCCAUUUUUACAAGGUUGGCCUCGGAUCAGGUGGGGAUACCCGCUGAACUUAA